This 534-nucleotide ribosomal RNA is filed under the name Arthrobacter sp. RNAcentral's name for it is "bacterial SSU rRNA". It matches the Rfam family "Bacterial small subunit ribosomal RNA", at positions 78 to 626 of the family's 1533-position model. The record is from RNAcentral. Lineage: Bacteria; Bacillati; Actinomycetota; Actinomycetes; Micrococcales; Micrococcaceae.
ACUUGUGGGGGGAUUAGUGGCGAACGGGUGAGUAACACGUGAGUAACCUGCCCUUAACUCUGGGAUAAGCCUGGGAAACUGGGUCUAAUACCGGAUAUGACUCCUCAUCGCAUGGUGGGGGGUGGAAAGCUUUUUGUGGUUUUGGAUGGACUCGCGGCCUAUCAGCUUGUUGGUGAGGUAAUGGCUUACCAAGGCGACGACGGGUAGCCGGCCUGAGAGGGUGACCGGCCACACUGGGACUGAGACACGGCCCAGACUCCUACGGGAGGCAGCAGUGGGGAAUAUUGCACAAUGGGCGCAAGCCUGAUGCAGCGACGCCGCGUGAGGGAUGACGGCCUUCGGGUUGUAAACCUCUUUCAGUAGGGAAGAAGCGAAAGUGACGGUACCUGCAGAAGAAGCGCCGGCUAACUACGUGCCAGCAGCCGCGGUAAUACGUAGGGCGCAAGCGUUAUCCGGAAUUAUUGGGCGUAAAGAGCUCGUAGGCGGUUUGUCGCGUCUGCCGUGAAAGUCCGGGGCUCAACUCCGGAUCUGCGG